RNAcentral lists this transfer RNA (96 nucleotides) under Cucumis melo (muskmelon). It matches the Rfam family "tRNA". Rfam says of the family: Transfer RNA (tRNA) molecules are approximately 80 nucleotides in length. Lineage: Eukaryota; Viridiplantae; Streptophyta; Magnoliopsida; Cucurbitales; Cucurbitaceae. RNAcentral also lists the same sequence under 1 other name. The record is from Rfam by way of RNAcentral.
CCGACCUUAGCUCAGUUGGUAGAGCGGAGGACUGUAGUUGGAAUUUCAUUCCUAAAAGCCAUCCUUAGGUCGCUGGUUCGAAUCCGGCAGGUCGGA